Molecule: long non-coding RNA, 1671 nt
Filed under: Monodelphis domestica (gray short-tailed opossum)
Lineage: Eukaryota; Metazoa; Chordata; Mammalia; Didelphimorphia; Didelphidae
Description: lncRNA (ENSMODG00000044805.1)
Source: RNAcentral
GGGGGCGGGAAGGAGUCACCAGUGUGGUCUGAGGCUGGGCUGCAGGAGGCAGCGCGUUCAAUCUCCCAGCCCCAGUGGCAGUGGGAAGGGGGGUGGGGGUGAAGGGAAGGACGUGGGAGGACACAAUCGCUGUCACCGCAGCUGAGGGGGAGGGGGGUACAAAGCCCCAGGAACACGGAAUUCCCGUGGGCUGGGGUGGUUGUUUUUUCUACGGGAGAGGGCAGUGACUGUGCCUCCCAAAGGACAGUAUGAGGAGCUGACCUUUCCAUUUCAGACCCUGGGCACCUCGCUCUCUCGCGCUCCGAAGGGCCCCGAGUCCGCUUUCUCGGGGGCGGAGGAGCCGCAGCGCGCUGGCAGCGAGCCAGGGCGCAGCCGGCUACCUUACUAUAUAAAUGCACCAGACACAGAAUAAAUGGAGUCACAAAGAGCCAGACAUGAAUGAACAAUAACAACAGAGUGGAAUGGGAUGCUUUGGGAAAGAGUGACUUUCUCAUCUUCAUAGUGGUCUCUAAGGAGAGACUGGAUGACUACUUGUCAGGCGCGUGAAACAGCAGGACAUGAAGGCAGAGUGGGAAGUGGACAAAAGCUCACUGGAAGGAGGCCAUCUCUUACACUUCGCAGACUGCCACAGUUGCAAAGGAACAUUCUCCAUGGAGCCUUCCUAUAUAAUUUAGGUGGUGACCUGAGAAGGAAAAUAGAGGCUAGAGGAAUACGGAUGUGAGAUAGAUAAGGCAGUCAGAGCAAGAAACGCAGGACUAAAGACUCAAAGACCACAAGUUAAAACACAUGGGGAGUUGUGAGCUCCUCUGUUGAUACCUCUCUGGAAGAAGAUAACGAGUGGAGAAAUUAGAAGUAUGAGAAACAAGAGAACCUGCAUGGAGCAGAAGACUCCAGGAUAUCCCCCAUAGACCAGGUGGUCAAGAGAUUAAUGGGAGAUGUGCGGGGCAGCUGUGCUGUGUAAGUCAGUCAAACAUGAGGCAAGACCAAGAUCAAGAUUGUAAGAUGCAAGGGAGAGAGUAAGGACUGUGAGAUCAAGAGGUGUGAGAGAGGAGAGGAGAAGAAGCUCACACAUGUUCCCUAGCUUUUACUGGGGUCCUUAGGAAUGUCAAGUUAGAGGUGAUUAAUGAAUAUAUGACAUGAUAUAGGUUUUGACAUUGGUUGAAUUGACAAUGAUGGAAUCAAAUAGGAGAUUAAUCCAACCCGGGCUUUGUAAGGGAAUGUAGUCCGAGCCAGGACACUGUGGCUGUCAAUGCCCAGCAGAGGAAUUUGCUUGUCCUUUGCACUAGUCCUUUGGAUUGUCCCUUUCCAUACAAUGAACAUUAAGUGAUCUGACCAUGUGUCUGGUAAAUGAAUAUACAGGAUACAAUAUCAAUGCAUCAAUCAUACUUCCAAGAUGCCAAGAUGCCUAGUAUGCUACACUUCCCCAUUUACUUUGGUCUCUAGUGAUUCUCCCCUUCCUCAUAAUCCAGAGUAUUUGUCACUGAUAAUCAUUAAGGGAUGUGAUCACUUUCUAUAUCUUGGUGCUCUCUAAUUAUUUCAUACAUGUAAGUCUUGCUUUCACUGUUAGUUUGUCCCUUAGGGUCAUAGACCUCAUCUUACAUUUCUUUGUUUCCCUCCACUCCAUAAUAAUUGCUCAGUUGUUUCAAUAAAUUUAUUCAUCUAAUAGGGACA